RNAcentral lists this ribosomal RNA (381 nucleotides) under uncultured Bacillus sp. RNAcentral's name for it is "bacterial SSU rRNA". It matches the Rfam family "Bacterial small subunit ribosomal RNA", at positions 1071 to 1452 of the family's 1533-position model. The record is from RNAcentral. Lineage: Bacteria; Bacillati; Bacillota; Bacilli; Caryophanales; Bacillaceae.
GAUGUUGGGUUAAGUCCCGCAACGAGCGCAACCCUUGAUCUUAGUUGCCAGCACUUCGGGUGGGCACUCUAAGGUGACUGCCGGUGACAAACCGGAGGAAGGUGGGGAUGACGUCAAAUCAUCAUGCCCCUUAUGACCUGGGCUACACACGUACUACAAUGGCCGGUACAACGGGCUGUGAAGCCGCGAGGUGGAACGAAUCCUAAAAAGCCGGUCUCAGUUCGGAUUGCAGGCUGCAACUCGCCUGCAUGAAGUCGGAAUUGCUAGUAAUCGCGGAUCAGCAUGCCGCGGUGAAUACGUUCCCGGGUCUUGUACACACCGCCCGUCACACCACGAGAGUUUAUAACACCCGAAGUCGGUGGGGUAACCGCAAGGAAGCCA